Molecule: unclassified non-coding RNA, 403 nt
Filed under: fungal sp.
Lineage: Eukaryota; Fungi
Description: partial internal transcribed spacer region
Rfam family: Eukaryotic small subunit ribosomal RNA (bases 1-46)
Source: RNAcentral
AAGUCGUAACAAGGUUUCCGUAGGUGAACCUGCGGAAGCAUCAUUAACACGUAUCCAACGUUAAACCCCCUGUGUGAACCUUCAUUGUGCUCCCACGCUUUGUUAGAAAGUAGCAAUCCCUGGUAAAUCAUCGCCGAACAGUUUUGAUUCAGGGACUUCUGCGAAGAGGGUGAUGUAGCGCGAGGCAAUGGACCGGGCAUUCCUCUGCUUGUUGGUGUCUGAAAUUGUCACUAACUCUGUACGAAUGGCGCAUAGUCACGUUCGCUAGAGGCCGAUACGGCCGGCGACCGGGUCCCUGAGCUCACUCAGAGCUCCCUAAUAACCUUUGCAUGAAAACGGGCCUGCGCUUAAUUGUGCGGCCACCAAACUCGAACAACUGUUAACAAUGGAUAUCUUGGUUCUC